RNA transcript from Peromyscus californicus insignis, 13988 nucleotides. It is a transcript of the gene named zinc finger protein 621-like, with no coding region annotated. The record is from RefSeq and is a predicted model, not a curated record. Lineage: Eukaryota; Metazoa; Chordata; Mammalia; Rodentia; Cricetidae. The transcript is spliced from 10 exons.
UUUUUUUUUUUUUUUUUUUUUUUAUAAAAGCCUCACAGAGCUUUGUUUUGUUUUGUUUUUUUAAAGAUUUACUUAUUUAUUAUGUAUACAGUGAGUGUUCGGCCUGCAGGCCAGAAGAGGGCACCAGAUCUCAUUGUUGAUGGUUGUGAGCCAUCAUGUGGUUGCUGGGAGUUGAACUCAGGACCUCUGGAAGAGCAGCCAAUGAGUGCUCUUAACCUCUGAGCCAUCUCUCCAGCCCCUUGAGUAGCCUUUUAAGAAAGGGGCAUGAGCCUGGUGGUGGUGCACACCUUUAUUUCCCAGUGCUCAGGCAGGCAGAUCUCUUGGGUUUGAGGCCAGCCUGGUCUACAGAGUGAGUUUCAGGACAGUUUGUUUUCAAGAUAGGGUUUCUCUGUGGAGCCGUGGAUGUCUGGAACUUACCCUGUUUACUAGGCUGCCCUCAACUCAGAGAUCAACCUGCCUCUCCUGGGAUUAAAGGUGUGCAUCACCACUGCCCACCUGAAACCCCAUCUUGCAAAGCCAAAGGAAAGAAAAAGGGUAUAAGCUAGACAGAGGCAGGAAGACCUCUCACGGGCCAGCCAGGGCUACACACUGAGACUUAGCAUCCCAAAAAGGUAAGUAACAAGUGGAACUAUGAGGUAGGCCAUGUUAUAAAAGCUGGCAGUUGGGUUUAGCCAGCUCUGAUUGGCUUUCAGAUGGGAAAGAUCGUGAAGAUGCUCCCGUCUAGGCACUUUGGAGUACACAUUGGGGCUAGCUGCUAAUCAGGACGGUUGAUGGCCUAGAGAAAAGACGAGCUCAAUCCAUUGGAUCCCAUGAGUGUAUGUGUCUCUAGGGUUGACGAUUAUGGGGAGAAAGGAGUUAGAACAUGGAUAGAAAGUAGAAUUGAGAUUAGUACUAUGAUUCUCCAGUCUCAGCCAUCAUGAUUGCUCUGAGCACACCCCACGGAAUUGAGUAGAAAAAACACAAAUCUGACUGAAAUGGUACCCUCUUCAGAGCAUUGCAGGCGGGGAAGUAUAGUGGGUAACUAACUCCAUGGAGUUGCCUUAAUAAAUCCCCACUCUGUGAAGGGUUGUGGGAAAGUGGACAACACGGAACCGGAAUCUCCAGCCGUGCCAUUACUGGAUUCCUGGUUCACACACUGAGGGCGUGGACGGGAUGUGUAUUGCUUUCAACUACCAAAUGAUUUGUUAGGAAGGAGCAGGUUGAUUCCUGCACCAGAGCAGAUACCUACGUAUACUCAGGCUGGCUUCUCUGGCUGUUUGCAGGAGGGGCCAGUUCUUCACUGCAUUGAUCCUGGUGGCUAGGAAUUUAGCACCUCAGACUGGGUUUAGUAGAGUAACCUGAGGUCAAGGCAGGUGGGAUGAGUGGUCAUGGAGAAGAGGUGCCUGGGAGCAAGCAGUUCCAAAAGCAGGUCUUUAGUGAUUUGUUGUCAGGGGCAUGAAGAUUGGGUUGAGUAUUAAGGAUUCCUUAACCUUGGGACUGCAGUGGACCAUCUAACUUCCAGAAAAUGGGCUCACACUUGGUUUGCUUUUCUGGCUUCCAGCUUGAGCUCUAGCAGACAUCUGCCUUAGCCUUCAGCAUAGGCUCUCAACCACCACACAUGCUUUUCCCUUGAACAUAAAAUAGUUUGCUUGAGGAAGGGUUUUGUGUAGCCUAGCCAUGAACUCCUCAUUCCUAUCUAGGCCUUUGAAGGUCUGGCAUUACAGUUGUAUACCACCAUGUCCAGUGAGAAAUAAACUUUAAUUUUCUGCUUUAUAAUUUCUAAUGCUUUACCAUUUUAAAGAAAGGUUUAUUUUUUUAUGCAUAUGAAUGUUUUGCUUGUGUGUGUGUGUGUGUGUGUGUGUGUGUGUGUGUGUGUGUGUGUACCUCAUUCCUUUCUGGUGUCCCUGGAAGCCAGAAAAGGGCGUUGGGUUUCCUGGAACAGGAGUUAUAGAUGGUUGUGAGCCACCAUGUGGGUGCUGGAAUUGAACGCUGGUCCUUUGCAAGAGCAGGUGCUACUAACUGCUGAGCCAUUUCUCCAACCCCAUCAUUAAAAUACUUUUUAAAAUUACGUGUCUGGGGGUAUGUGCUCAUGAGUGCAGUGCCAGGCAGUCCAGAAGAGGGCGUCAGAUUUGCGGGAGCUGAAGUGAGCCUUCUGAACGCAGGAUCCUUUCCUGCCACAUCAACUAAGAAACUGCACUGAUGGUCUAAUUUUUAUUUGUAGAAGUGUGGGUUGUCCCCCCCCCCCCCCAUGUUGCUAUUUAAAAUUGGUGCCAGAGAAAUAGCUUGAGCGAAUUUGUAUAAUUUAUGUGCAGAGCCUCCUGCAAAGGUGUGCCACUUGCUGUCCCAGAGCGCAUGCGCCCAGAUGUCUCAACACCUACCCCUCAGACCUUCCCAGUGCACACGCUUCGGAGCCCGAGGGGCGUGUUAGCCCCUCUCAAGUGCGCACGCGCUCAGGCACACAGCAACCAGUCUACUCCGCCAGAACGUCGGGUGGUGGGGCCGCGGUACCACUGAGAUGAGGCCUCCGGGCGGCCUAGAGGGGCCUGCGUGCGCUCGCGCUUCCGGGUCUCGCAUAUCCAAAGCCGGGAGACAGAGUGCAAGAAGCCAGGGACACCAGUCAUGCUUCAAACCGCUUGGCCACAGGAGUUGGUGACCUUUGAGGAUGUGGCUGUGUACUUUACACAGAGCCAGUGGGACAGCCUGCAGCCUGCGCAGAGGGCGUUGUACAGGGAUGUGAUGCUGGAGAACUAUGCCCAUGUGGCUUCUCUGGUUGAAUGUCCAGCUCCCAAACCCAUUCUCAUCUCCCAGCUGGAGAGAGGAGAAGCGCCCUGGGCCACAGAUCCCUGGGCCUCAGAGUGCCUAAGAGGCUGCAGUCCUGAUGCUGAGUCUUGGACCAAGGACGAAGAGCCCUCUUUGAAGCAGGAAGCCUCUGGAGAGAGAGCAGCCUGCAGAGUGCCCAGGGGGAGGGUGCUCAGAACGGAUGCUCAGCACUGUGCCGGUGAGGACAGCAGGACAGGGAGGCAGAUGUUCAGUUCCAAACCAAAGCUGGCCCAUCGAGGAGGCAUGAAGUGCUAUGAAUGCAGAGAAUGUGGGAAGAUCUUCAGGUUCAACUCCAAGCUGCGUCGCCACCAGAUGAGUCACACUGGGGAAAAGCCCUUCAAAUGUAAAGAGUGCGGCAAAGCAUUCAAGUUCAGCUAUGAAUGCGUCAUCCACGAGAAGAAUCACCUUGGCGAGGGGCCCUAUGAAUGUAAGCAGUGUGGGAAAUGUCUGAGUUCCAACAGAUCCUUAACCCAGCACCAGAUGGUCCACAGCAGAGAGAAGCCCUACGUCUGCCAGGAGUGCGGCAGGGCCUUCGGGAGGAGCUCAUCCUUCUUCCAGCACCGGAGGCUGCACACGGGGGAGAGCCUCUUCCAGUGCCAGGAGUGCUGCAAAGUGUUUGGUUACAGGUCCCAGUUACUCAUCCACCAGCGAGUCCACACAGGGGAGAAGCCCUACCAGUGCCUGCAGUGUGGCAAGGCCUUCUCGUACAAAGUGGCUUCCCUUCAGCACCAGACAGUGCACACUGGGGAGAAGCCGUAUGCGUGCAAGGUGUGUGGGAAGGCUUUCAAGUGGUACAGGAGCUUUGCUCAGCAUCGGAAACUGCACUCCGUGGAGACGAAGCCGACUCAGGGUGAUCCAGCCUUAGCUCAGGCUCCUCCGCAGGAGCCCGGUGCCUCUCCUGCAGCUGUGCCUCUCCUGGCCUUUCCUCGAGCUGUGCUGAUUCAGACUUCCAGCCCUUUGCUCAUGCUGCUGCCAGCAUCUGGAGGACCCUCCUCAUCUGCCCAGAUAACGCUCAUCUUCCAGGGCCUUCCUUCCGCAGUGAAGACUUCCCCGGGUUGAAUUCCUUCUCGGCCCUCUGCAGCUUCAUCUUAGCACUUUCCAAAUAGCUGCAGGGUGCCAGCCGACUUCACACUAUUUGCUCAGUAGACGGACUGACAGACCACCAGAUGAACACCGCCCGUGUUUAUAAGCUGAGCUACAAACAACACAAGAAACAGUCUGGAGCCUGGCAAGUUCUUGGUCACCGUGUCCUCCUGAGACUCCAGCGACCUUGGCUGCCACCAUCCUCCAGGUUCCCUCUAUUCGCCUCAGGAUCUGGAAACCCCCCUUUCUCUGCCUAUGUACCUGGUCACUAAUGAGAAGUGUUGAAGAAGGCCUGACCUGUGCCACUCCCGGAGGACUCUACAUCAGCGUCGCCCAGAGGUGCCUGCCUGCACAGCUGUGUUUACCACUGUGCUGUUCACAGUGCCCAGGAUGUGGAGUUAGUCUCGAUGCCCACCAAUAGGAUGGAUGAUUGCUAUAUGUGGGUCUUACUGUGUGUCCUGUCUGGCCCAGAAAUUGCUGUGUAGACCAGACUGGCCUGAGACAGAGAUUUACCACACCUGACGGCUCCUUGGUUCUUCCUGCUUCCUCUUCCGGGGUUGCCGUAGGGCACCAUUUAGGGCCGAGCACUCAGCAGUCCCCGUUCUCGGCACACUGACGGUUUGAGCCUCUGCGUUAACUGGUGACCACUGUGCACAGAAGCUUCUCCAAGGCUGAGGGAAGCACGGAUCCAGCUCUGUCCUGCCUAUGAACAGAAAACCACCGCUUUGGGCACCAGAGGCCGGAAAUAGACUGGGAGCUUCCCGCCUAAGGCCAAGGCCUGUGAGGGCACCUGUGCAGACCACACUGCCAACUCCGGUCUGUGGUUCGUCGGAGUGGAGUGAGACAGAGUUUUCCCGGAGCUGCAGAUAUUCUGUUUUCUGGAACAAGAUCCUGGUGACUGGCUUUGAGAAGUGCAAAGGAGGUUGUUCCUGGACCCUGGCCUGUGAGCAGGACUCUGUGUGGUCCGAUGCAAGCCUGUACUUGAGGGAAGCUCCUUCCCGCACUGUUCCGGAAGCUGGAACCUGUGAGCACAGACCUGUUCACCUCUUUCUGAACAUCUUCUUUCAGUUUAUAGAUUAGCCACCAUUUUCCUGUCUUUGUGGAUGAGGAAAGAGAAACGUAAGUUCUCAGUGUCUUUUCCUAUAGGACACUAACACCUCAGUCAGGGCCCCACCCUUCUGACUUCAUUUAGUUUUAAUUACCUCCUGUUGACCUUGUCUCAAUUGAGGACACCAGCGUGUGGAAUUUGGUGAGACAUAGUUCAGUCCAUAAUAUCAUCCACAUCCUCUUUUCAGAGGACUUUCCAGUUGUUCCCUGACAUGGGGAAAUGAUGACAUAGGGCAGUAGGAAGGCAGGUGCCCACUCUGGGGCUUAGGCAGGUUCACCAGAAGCAAAUGCUGAAAGGAGACACCUCUCCCCGUCCCCGUUUGUGUGUGUGUGUGUGUGUAUGUGUGUGUGUGUGUGUGUGUGUGUGUGUGUGUGCGCGCGCGCGCGCAUAUGAUCAGAGGACAAACCCAAGAGUCUUUCCUUAGAAUGGUCCACUGUGUUUAUUUAAGACAGGGUCUCUCACUGGGACUCGGAGUUCAUAGUUAGGCUAGCCUGGCGGGCCACGGAGCCCAGGACUUGCCUGUUUCACCUUCCCAGCACGGAGGUUGCAAGCACCGUCACGCCUAGCUUUUUUUUUUUUUAAAUAAAUAUGUAUUCUGGGGAUUACACUCACGAAUUAGCUGAGCUAUCUCCCCAGCCUGUGAGAGGCCUCUGUGUAAAUGUGGGGCUGAGGCUGCUCCCUAGAACGUUGACAUGGAUAUAGGGCAGGCCAGGGUGAGAGCUGGGCCACAGUUCUCCAGGCUUCACCCUGACUCUUCACGGGGGCCGGCAGUGCAGCGACAGCUUAAAGGCUCAUGUACCACAUCUCGCUAAGGGUGGUCUUGAGGGGACAUAUCUCCAGUCUCCACAGGUGUGGGAGCUGCUGUAGGAGCCCAAGGGCUUUCCCCAAAGGAGAAGAAGAUACAGAGGGCAGAGACCAGGGGAGGUGGUGUAGCACCUGCACAUGGGGCUGGAAGAAUUACCUCCUUUUCUAGUUGCUGUGACAAGAAGCCGCUGGUGGGGGGAGGGGACACAGCUCACCAUGGUGGCAGGAGCAGAGGUGAUGUCACAUCCAUGCAGGGAGCAGGGAGAGAUGCUCUCUGGGGCUCAGCACACUUCCCCUUUGGUAUUCAGUACGGAGCUUCAUCCGGUCCACAGAAUAUGCUGCUGGUAUUCGGAGUGAGUCUCACUCUCUUGACUAGCCUAACUUGGAAAGCACAGGCACUCUCCGAGGUGAUCCUACAUCCCGUGGACUUGACAAUAGUACUGUCACAGAGGUGUCUGGGCGAAGCCUUCAAUGUUAAAGUCUGAGCCAGUGGCAAAGUGUGCAUCUGAGACUCCCUAGGCUCAAGUCGCUGACAGAGUCAGGCACACAUGUGAGAAUAUUCUGCUCUUGGAGGUCAUCUGAGGAAGGGACUAGAUCUUUUGUGUUUUGUCGUGGUUGUGCUUUGAUAAUUUCAUAUGUGCAUAUAAUUAAAUAUGGCCGUAUAUACCCCUACUUUCCCCAGCCAACUCCCUCCAAAUCCCCUCCCACAUCUACCUCUCAGUUUUAUUUCCUCCUCUUCUUCCUCACUGUGUACAGUUAGUGCUGCCUGUAUGUGUGAGGAGGAGGGACCAUCUACUACAACAUGGGGAAUCUUCCCGCAGCCAACCUCUCAAAGACUGACUCUCCCUCCCUGGGUGCUGUCAGUCACCAAAAGCCCCUCAGUGAGGGGUGGGUCCUUGUGAGUUCCCUCCAUCCAUGCCUGGAUUUUGGUUGGCUUGCUCACGGGCGGGUAACCACAGCUGCAAUGAGUUCUGAGUGCCAGUCAUGUGAUGUGCAAAGACAGCAUUUCCGUUUUCCUCCCCAUCCUCUGGCUUACUUCCUCUCUGCUUCCUCCUCUGUGAUGUUCCCUGAACCUUUGGAUUUGGACUGAGCACUCACAGUCACUUAGCUCACCCUUGGACCAGUUGUGAGCCUCUGCAGUGGCUAUUGCCACUGUAAAAGGAAACUUCUCGAGCACAGUUGAGGGCAGGCCAGUAGCUUCUGGGUACUCUUCCAUCCCUACACCAGCAGACAGUAGAUGCUCAGGCUGCAGGGCUGCUUGGAGAGCAGGCCACGAGAUGCCCAGAUGGGGCCAGAGCAAUAGGUAGAAUCAGGUGUAGCUGGCCUCUGCUCUGGGCCUCUCCCAGAUAGGCACCCUGCCACUGCCAGGGGUGCAGUGAGGAGGCAUCUCCUGGGGGUGCAGUGAGCAGUCAUUUUUGGGGGGUGCAGUGAGGAGUCAUCUUCCAGGGGCACAGUAAGAAACCAUCUCCCAGGGAUGCAGUGAGGAGCCAUCUCCCAGGGGCACAGUAAGAAGCCAUCUCCUGGGGUGCAGUGAGCAGUCAUCUCCUUGGGUACAGUGAGCAGUCAUUUCCUGGGGUGCAGUGAGCAGUCAUCUCCUUGGGUGCAGUGAGGAGCCAUCCCCUGGGGUUCAGUGAGGAGCCAUUUCUAUGGGGUUCAGUGAGGAGCCAUUUCUGUGGGGUGCAGUGAGCAGUCAUCUCCUUGGGUGCAGUGAGGAGCCAUUUCCGUGGGGUGCAGUGAACAGUCAUCUCCUUGGGUGCAGUGAGCAGUCAUCUCCUUGGGUCCAGUGAGGAGCCAUUUCCGUGGGGUGCAGUGAGGAGCCAUUUCCGUGGGGUGCAGUGAGCAGUCAUCUCCUUGGGUGCAGUGAGCAGUCAUCUCCUUGGGUGCAGUGAGGAGCCAUUUCCAUGGGGUGCAGUGAGCAGUCUUCUCCUGGGGUGCAGUGAGCAGUCAUCUCCUUGGGUGCAGUGAGGAGCCAUCUCCUUGGGUGCAGUGAACAAGCAGGAUGCUGAGAUGCUGGUGUAGAUGUAAACCUCCCCCUCCCUUUGGGAAAUCCAAACUGAAAAACUAUUAGAAAUAAUGAGAGUUCAGUAAGGCAGCCAGCUACAAAAUAAAUGUGCAAAAAUCAAUACCUUUCCUAUGUCCAACAGUAACCACUUAGAAAAAAAAAUAAUGGAAAAGAAAGAUCUCAUUCGCAAUAAAAAUGGGAGAUAUUUAUCACCCCAAGCAAACGUCCAGGAGGAGAUGUGUGUAACUGUCUCCCCAUUUGUCCAGGCAUCCUCCUGAGGUGGGGAAGAGUAGCUAGAGGAUGCAGUGUGGAUGCUUGCCUGGCCUCUAGGCUUCAGGCCUCUGCACAGUGGCGCGUGGGUGUGUGGGUGCUGUCUGCAUUUCCAAGGCUCAUUUGGUGGGUUGCUUUGGCUUUUCUGAGGAGGAACAAGUUCUAGUCAGUUACCAGGUUACUGGGCAUACUGCUUCCUCAUGUAGUUUCACUGUGUGUGUGUGUGUGCGUGUGCGUGUGCGUGUGUGUGUGUGUGUGUGUGUGUGUGUGUGUGUGUGCAUGCACGUGUGAAGCCCAGAGGGGUCGAUCUUAGGUGUUCCUCAGGUGCCAUCAUCAUGUUUAAACUAUUGUUUUUGAAACAGGGUGUCUCACUGGCCUGAACUCCCUGGUGAGGCCGGGCUGGCGGCCAGAGUGCCCAGGGACCUGCCUGUCUUCACCUCCCCAGCACUGGGAUUACAAGCGUGCACCAACACACCUGGAUUUUUCAUGUGGGUUUUGCCUCAGCAUAGAUUUAGUUUGCAGUUCUCUUGUUUGUGCACAACUUUUCAAGGAGAACUGCAAAAUGAUAUAUCUCUUACAAAGACGGUGAUUUUUAUUUCUUUAAUAAUCAGGCAGCAACGAAUCAGUGUUUCUGUAAGGACUGAGUGUUUGGAAUGGUUGUACGUUCUCCAGGGAGUGUAGACCUCGCUCGCUCUCUUUGCUGGGCUACACUGCCUGCCUCUCCCUGUCAGUGUUUGAAUCUGCCUUCCCAGUCCUUGUCUCGGAGGGAGGGAGAAGGCUUUCUGUGGCUCAGUUUGAGUCCGUCAUGUUGGAGAAGGCACAGCAGGAACAUGAGGCUACUGGCCAUAUGGUGUCCGCAGUCAGGGAACCAGGAGAGCUGGAUGCAGGCACGCAGGCACGCAGCUCAUUCUCUUCUCACUGUCUGGGAUCCCAGCCCACGGGGUGGUGCCGCUCAUAUUCAAGGUGAGUCUUUCCUCCCCAGUUAAUUCAAUUGGGAAAUUUCUUCUUAGACAUGCCCCAAGCCUUGUCUCCAAGGUCAUUCUGGAUCCUGACAUAUUGACAAUCAACAUUAACAGUUGCAGUAGGUAGAUCAGUUGCCUAUUGCUCCAAAACAUGCUGAGUAACAAUCACAGCACCAAGGAUGCAUGUAGGGUGCUGGCUGUGUGGUUCUGCCGAUGCUCCCUGGGCAUCACUGGUGGGUUCGGCUAGCUAUCACUAAUCUAGACUGCUCUUUUUACAUAGCCAUGUGUACAGCAUGAACUCAUGGUCAUAAAACAUAGUGUGCAUGGAACAGCAUGCUUUUUUGUCUCGCGAGUCUUCACUGGACUUGGGUUUUGGUUGGGUCCUAUGUUCCAUUCUGACUUUUAUAUCCCGUCACUCUCCCCACAUCUCCUUCAUUCCCUGCUUGUCCCUCUUCUCACACAUGCCCAGCAUUUCAAUCUCAGUCCUUCUCAGGAGUAUUCCUGCUUCUGCUGGGGUCUGUGGUGGACUCAAAGAUAGAAAUGCUCUCUGGUUCUCCAUGAGGAAUGUGAUGGGGAACUAAAGCGAAAGUAGUAACUUUGGCUUUCAGAGAACACUAACUUCCCUGGAGAAUUGGAAUCCUGCUGCAGAUGACUUUGGACCCAAAUUAUGACUGCCCAGGAUCCAGACUGUGGGUCUACACUGCCUGAAUUUGCAAGUCUCUACAACCUUGAUUGCUGUGGGAUGUUCUGUAUGGCAAAUGUGUUGCUCUGAUUGGUCAAUAAAUAAAUCACUGAUUGGCCAGUGGCUAGGCAGGAAGUAUAGGCGGGACAAGGAGGAGAAUAAAGCUGGGAAGUGGAAGGCUAAGAGGGAGACACUGCCAGCCGCCAUGAUGACAAGCCGCAUGUGAAGAUGCCGGUAAGCCACGAGUCAUGUGGCAAGGUAUAGAUUAAUGGAAAUGGAUUAAUUUAAGCUGUAAGAACAGUUAGCAAGAAGCCUGCCACGGCCAUACAGUUUGUAAGCAAUAUAAGUCUCUGUGUUUACUUGGUCGGGUUUGAGCGGCUGUGGGACUGGCGGGUGUCAGAGAUUUGUCCUGACUGUGGGCCAGGCAGGAAAACUCUAGCUACACUUGAUCUCUUUCUAUAGGCACACACACACACACACACACACACACACACACACACACACACACACAGAGCCACCCACUGCAGGAAGAUGAUUCAGCCCUUGAUGACACAUGGGAUGGCACACUACAGUGGAGCUGGAAGUUCUCGCUGCUUACUGACAUGAUAGCUACUUUAAUGUUAUUGCAUAGCCUGUCACAUACCUGUGGGGGUGCUGACUUAAACAAACCUACUGCCAGGUGGAUAAAAAUCCCACACAUACAAUUAUAUAUAAUGUGUGAUGCUGUGUCAGUUCCAUGGAGAUACCAUAACAGCUCUGUGCAUGAUAAUGUAUAGAUCCCAUGUACAACACUGUAACUAUUCUGUGAGUGAUACUGUAUCAAGUCCAUUCAAGUCACUGUAAUAAUUCCAUACAUGAUACUAUAUCCAUUCCAUGCAUGAUACUCUAAUAAUUUCUAUACUUGAUACUGUAUUGAUUCUGUACAUGACAUGGUAUCAAUUCCAUGUAUGACACUGUACUUAUUCUAUAUGGGACACUGUAGUGAUUCUGUGCCUGAUACUAUAACGAUGGUAAGAGACCAUGCCACUGGUUUUUGUAUUUAUUGUCCUGUAUUGGUUACUUUUGUUUUAGAGUAUUCUACUUACGAAUACAAGUUUAUUUGGAGCUAGAGAGAUGGCUCAGCAGUUAGGAGCACUUGCUGCUCUUGCAAAGGAGCCAAGUUUGGUUUCCAGUACCCACAACAGGCAGCUCACAGUCAUCCAGCUCUAGGGAAUCCAAUCUUGUGGCACCUGCACUCCAGUGCACAUAUCCCCGUCCAUACACAUAACUAAUAAAAGUAAAACAAACUUCAAAAAGAGGAGAGAGAACUGGCUUGGUGCUGCUGCAGGCUUGUAAUCUCAACACCUGGGAGGCUGAGGCAGGAUGACCAAGAAUUUGAAGCCAGCCUGGACCUCACAAGACUCUGUCUCAAAAUGUUUUUUGUUAUUGUUUUGUUUUUUAAACAAUAAUCCUUGUUAUGAGGGCAACAGUCUCAUCCAUCUUGUGGUCACUAUGUCUCUGGAUUGAAUCAAGAGAUCUGAACUCUGACCCCACACCAUCUUGUGCCCUGUGAGUACUCUGUAGAACGACAUCACCUUCUUGGGUCAAAUCCUGUGAAGGCAUUUGUGCUGGGAUCCAUCUGUGUCUGUAGACACAUGGAGACUGUUUCCCGAAGGAAAUGACUAACAGAGGGAUGCUGGGUUCCUGGGCCUGUUGCUUGCUUUCUCCGAAAUCAUCUUUGUUCCACAGUUUUGUGAGCCCUCAUAGGAAGAGAAUACUGACACUGUCUCUGGUCUGUUCAAACUCUCUUUUUAUAUUUACUCCAUGUCCUGUGUUGUCUCCAGAGACCUCUGGAGUGUUAACUAUCAGCCAAGUCUCGCUUCCAGAUAAGCAAUCUGUGAGGGGUGUGUGUGUGUGUGUGUGUGUGUGUGUGUGUGUGUGUGUGUGUGUGAGAAGGAUCAGGGGUAAGAAGUAUGUUUGCCUGGCACAAACAGAGGAUUUUUGUGGUUGGGGCACUCCAAAGAUUUAGACCAUCCUGAGUACUAUUUAUCCCUGGGCUCAGGUUCAGGGCAAACCCAGCAAGGAUAGUAAUAAUGACUUAGGAUGUUAUAGGCCAUUUUCUGCCAUUUAACCUACUAGGAUUUAUACUUGGAUCUUUGGGAUGAGAGGGGGGAGGCUCUGGGAAGUCUGAGUGUUCUGCACAGGAUGCUGCUGAUGUGCACUGACUCCCAGGUGAGGAUCUUGAGGGCUGACAGCAGCUGGGAGUGAUGGAGGUGGUGUCCCACUGUGACACUAGCACUCCAUGCUGGUACCUCAGCAGUUGAGUCAGGAAGGCUCUGUUGUCACACUGGUGACUCUACAGAUGCUCUGAGGGGCUGUCCUUCUGUGAUUUGACAGUGUGUUCUUGUGUCAUGGGAACCUGUGGCUGGGGACUGUGAGUGCCUUUUGAAAGGUCUAAGGGCGGUGUGUGUGUAGUGCAUAUGUGUGUAGUGCAUGUGCGUGUAGUACAUGUGUGUUCACUCAUGUGCACAUGCCCUUGGUCAUGCACUAUGACAGUGGAUGUCAGAGGUUGACUUUGAGUAUCAUCUAUUACUCUACUGUGGUGAUAUAUUGUUUCUCCCAAUAUAUUGUGCACCCUACAUUAUUUUUAAGAUUAUUUAUUAUUAUUAUUAUUUAUUAUUAUGUUUUUCAAGACAGGGUUUCUCUGUGUAGCUUUGGAGCUGUCCUGGAACUUGCUUUGUAGACCAGGCUGGCCUCGAACUCAUAGAGAUCCACCUGCUUCUGCCUCCUAAGUGCUGGGAUUAAAGGUAUGUGUCACUAACACCCAGCUUAUUUUUAUUUUUUAUUUUUUAAAAAGGGUAUAUGUGUUUGUCUGCAUGUGAGUGAAGGUGCCUGUGAAGUCCAAAGAGGGCAUUGGGUCCUGGAGCUGGAUUUAGAGGCAAUUGUGAGCCUCUUAAUGUGGGUACUGAACGGAACUCGGGUCCUCUGCAGUGGCAACAAGAGACUGUAACUGCUGAGCCGUCCUGUAGCCCCUCUACCUUAUUUUUUUGAGACAGGAUCUCUCACUUGGCCUGGAGCUCACCAUUUCUGCUAGCCUGGUUGGCCAGUGACCCCCAGGUGGAGAGGUGGAGAGAACCAGAAGAAAGUGCUGUCCAUGUGUGCCUUUAAUUCUGGAAACAAGCCUGCAGGGAGGUAGGCUUUCAUUUAGAGAAGAGAAGCUGGGCGUGUGACUUCAAUCCAAACCGCUCAGUUUAAGUCCCUUUCUCAAUAGGAAAUAAAGAAGAAAAAAGAGGAGAUUGCUGGGGAACCAGGGUGGCAAUUACGGUUCUCGUGGAGAAAGAACACAGCCUUUGCAGGUUAUAUCCAGCACCACAGACCCAGCAAGCCGCUGCUCGGCUAAUUAAAACCAGGACGAUGAGGUCAGAGUCGGGGCCCAGAGUGGGCUCGAGGGGCUGAUAAAAGGUGAGAUCAGGAGUGCAUGCUCCACUUUAGUCAGAUUCUCAGAGCCUUCCAAAUAACAUGGCUUGGUUUCAGCACUGUGCAGCUAGGGAUAGCUAGGAACAUGGCCCACCCAGUCAUAACCUACUUAAAGCAUCAUUAAGAGGUGCUUUUGUGAUUUUUGUGGGAGGAGCUCAACUGCACAGCUCUUGAGUGGAAACUUCGUAGAUGACUGCCAUGUAACGCUAUCCAAAGACUGAACUGGUGCGUGUGGCUUCGGCCUUCCCAGAAAUUGUGCUUUUUUUUUUCUCUCUCUCUAAAUACAUGGCCUCAUGUAGCCCAGGCUUCAACUUGCUGUGUAACUAAGAAUCACCUUUAGUAGAUUUUCUUGCCUCUGAAUGCUGGGUGUGACGGUAAGCUUAACUGUCUGCUUGAUACAAUCUGUCUCCUGGGAAGAGCCUCAGUAAGGGAUGUCUAGAUCAGGUUGGCUUGUGUGCAUAUCUGUACAGGGUUGUCUCCAUUUCAUUAACUGUGAGGGGAGAUCCUGUCCGAGAGUGGGGAGCCACCUUUCUCUAAUUUGGGGGCCUGGAUUGUAUGAGAAUCGAGAAAGCUGGCUGAGCCACACGCAGCAGGCGCCGACUUCUCUCGGCUCUCGACCGUGGCAUUGACCAGCUGCUUCCAACUCCUGCCACAGUGGCUUCCCUGCAGUGAUGGACUGUAACCCGGGACUGUGGGCUAAAAUAAACCCGUUCCCCCUUAAGUUUCCUUUUGUCGUCUAUUUUCUCACAGUAACAGAAAUGAAACGCAGGUGUGUGCCACCUACCAUGCCCUUUUGCUUCGUUGGAGUUGUCGAACCCAUGG